Sus scrofa (pig) is the source of this 382-nucleotide non-coding RNA. The record is from RefSeq and is a predicted model, not a curated record. Lineage: Eukaryota; Metazoa; Chordata; Mammalia; Artiodactyla; Suidae.
CUGGAGCAUCCCAGGAUACUGGUAUCCUCGCUGGUCCAAGAACCAGUCCCCUGCCACACCAAGGGACGAUUGUACUUCCUUCUGUCCUUAUCCUGGUUGCACAGUAAGUAAGCCCAUCUUACUUACGGCACAGCUUGGGUCCCCCAGCACCUGCAUGGCAGAAGGUGCAGGUUCAGACACUGCUCACAUGCUUCCCCAGCUGAGGCUCAUGUGGAUGCUGAAUGCUUAUUCAGAAAAUAUCUUCACAUGUGUGGAACGGCUAUUCAAGGAUGGAGCUGCCCGGUUCAAUUUUUCUGAUGAUUCCCGUGGCGAGAGCUGAAUUGACCUGAGGGAGCCGGCCCUGCUGCAAGGCUGGUAGGUGAGGCACUGCCCUGGCAUUGGU